RNAcentral lists this long non-coding RNA (2430 nucleotides) under Mus musculus (house mouse). RNAcentral's name for it is "long non-coding RNA chrX:137386615-137389045". Lineage: Eukaryota; Metazoa; Chordata; Mammalia; Rodentia; Muridae. The record is from RNAcentral.
AGUACCAUGCAGUUUUUUAUCACAAUUGCUCUGUAGUAAAGCUUUAGGUCAGGCAUGGUGAUUCCACCAGAGGUUCUUUUAUCCUUGAGAGGAGUUUUUGCUAUAUUAGGUUUUUUGUUAUUUCAGAUAAAUUUGCAGAUUGCUCUUUAUAAUUUGUUGAAAAAUUGAGUUGGAAUUUUGAUGGGGAUUGCAUUGAAUCUGUAGAUUGCUUUGGGCAAGAUAGCCAUUUUUACAAUGUUGAUCCUGCCAAUCCAUGAGCAUGGGAGAUCUUUCCAUCUUCUGAGAUCUUUAAUUUCUUUCUUCAGAGACUUGAAGUUUUUAUCAUACAGAUCUUUCACUUCCUUAGUUAGAGUCACGCCAAGAUAUUUUAUAUUAUUUGUGACUAUUGAGAAGGGUGUUGUUUCCCUAAUUUCUUUCUCAGCCUGUUUAUUCUUUGUGUAGAGAAAGGCCAUUGACGUGUUUGAGUUAAUUUUAUAUCCAGCUACUGCACCGAAGCUGUUUAUCAGGUUUAGGAGUUCUCUGGUGGAAUUUUUAGGGUCAGUUAUAUAUACUAUCAUAUCAUCUGCAAAAAGUGAUAUUUUGACUUCAUCUUUUCUAAUUUGUAUGCCCUUGAUCUCCUUUUGUUGUGGAAUUUCUCUGGCUAGGACUUCAAUUACAAUGUUGAAUAGGUAGGGAGAAAGUGGGCAGCCUUGUCUAGUCCCUGAUUUUAGUGGGAUUGCUUCCAGCUUCUCACCAUUUACUUUGAUAUUGGCUACUGGUUUGCUGUAGAUUGCUUUUAUUAUGUUUAGGUAUGGGCCUUGAAUUCCUGAUCUUUCCAAGACUUUUAUCAUGAAUGGGUGUUGGAUCUUGUCAAAUGCUUUUUCCACAUCUAGCGUGAUGAUCAUGUAGCUUUUGUCUUUGAGUAUGUUUAUAUAAUGGAUUAUAUUGAAAGAUUACCAUAUAUUAAACCAUCCCUGCAUCCCUGGAAUAAAACCUACUUGGUCAGGAUGGAUGAUUGCUUUAAUGUGUUCUUGGAUUUCAUUAGUGAGAAUUUUAUUGAGUUUUUUGCAUCGAUAUUCAUAAGGGAAAUUGAUCUGAAGUUCUCUAUCUUUGUUGCAUCUUUCUGUGGUUUAUGUAUCAGAGUAAUUGUGGCUUUACAGAAUGAGUUGCAUAGAGUACCUUCUACUUCUAAUUUGUAGAAUAGUUUGUGCAGAACUGGAAUUAGAUCUUCUUUGAAGGUCUGAUAGAACUCUGCACUAAACCCAUCUGGUCCUGGGCUUUUUUUGUUUGGGAGACUCUUAAUUGCUGCUUCUUUUUCUUUAGGGGAUAUGGGACUGUUUAGAUCGAUAACUUGAUCCUGAUUUAACUUUGGUACCUGGUAUCUGUCUAGAAAUUUGUCCAUUUCGUCCAGGUUUUCCAGUUUUGUUGAGUAUAGCCUUUUGUAGAAGGAUCUAAUGGUGUUUUGGAUUUCUUCAGGAUCUGUUGUUAUGUCUCCCUUUUCAUUUCUGAUUUUGUUAAUUGGAAUGCUUUCCCUGUGCCCUCUAGUGAGUCUAGCUAAGGGUUUAUCUAUCUUGUUCAUUUUCUCAAAGAACCAGCUCCUUGUUUGGUUGAUUCUUUGAAUAGUUCUUCUUGUUUCCACUUGGUUGAUUUCGCCCCUGAUUUUGAUUAUUUCCUGCCAUCUACUCCUCUUGGAUGAAUUUGCUUCCUUUUUUUCUAGAGCUUUUAGGUGUGUUGUCAAGCUGCUAGUGUGUGCUCUCUCUAGUUUCUUUUUGGAGGCACUCAUAGCUAUGAGUUUCCCUCUUUGAAGUGCUUUCAUUGUGUCCCAUAGGUUUUGAUAUGUUGUAGCUUCAUUUUCAUUAAACUCUAAAAAGUCUUUAAUUUCUUUCUUUAUUCCUUCCUUAACCAAGGUAUCAUUGAGAAGAUUGUUGUUCAGUUUCCACGUGAAUGUUGGAUUUCCAUUAUUUAUGUUAUUAUUGAAGAUCACCCUUAUUCCAUGGUGGUCUGACAGGAUGCAUUGAACAAUUUCAAUAUUUUUGUAUCUGUUGAGGCCUGUUUUGUGACCAAUUAUAUGGUCAAUUUUGGAGAAGGUCCCGUGAGGUGCUGAGAAGAAGGUAUAUCCUUUUGUUUUAGGAUAAAAUGUUCUGUAGAUAUCUGUCAGAUCCAUUUGUUUCAUAACUUCUGUUAGUUUCACUGUGUCCCUGUUUAGUUUCUGUUUCCAUGAUCUGUCCAUUGAUGAAAGUGGUGUGUUGAAGUCUCCCACUAUUAUUGUGUGAGGUGCAAUGUAUGUUUUGAGCUUUACUAAAGUUUCUUUAAUGAAUGUGGCUGCCCUUGCAUUUGGAGCGUAGAUAUUCAGAAUUGAGAGUUUCUCUUGGAGGAUUUUACCUUUGAUGAGUGUGAAGUGUUGCUCCUUGUCUUUUUUGAUUACUUUGGGUUGGAAGUCGAUUUUAUUUG